AAAAAAUGAACCACACUCACAAAUGAGCUUUCUUGCAGGGCUGGCACUGGGCACAUUGGAUGCUGCGUCUACUCCAGUACUUGUGGCCGCAGAGAUCCCUUCAGCGAGCUGCCUUCUGCUAGGAGCUGUUUUAGUCCAACCUGGACUCUCCCUUCUCACCUCCUAUGUUAAAAUUGUGAACAUGGCCAAGAUAUGGAAGCAUCAGUAGACGAAUGGAGAAAGAAGAUGAAUCUCCAGUGCUGUCUACACUACACCAAACCUACCUGACUGUGCUGGCGGCUGUGGCUUCAGCCCUUUUGCCGCCUACUUGGUAUC
Long non-coding RNA from Manis pentadactyla (Chinese pangolin), 315 nucleotides. RefSeq lists it as uncharacterized. The record is from RefSeq and is a predicted model, not a curated record. The transcript is spliced from 3 exons. Lineage: Eukaryota; Metazoa; Chordata; Mammalia; Pholidota; Manidae.